RNAcentral lists this ribosomal RNA (253 nucleotides) under uncultured bacterium. RNAcentral describes it as "partial 16S ribosomal RNA". It matches the Rfam family "Bacterial small subunit ribosomal RNA", at positions 524 to 776 of the family's 1533-position model. The record is from RNAcentral.
UACGAAGGGGGCUAGCGUUGCUCGGAAUCACUGGGCGUAAAGCGCACGUAGGCGGAUUGUUAAGUCAGGGGUGAAAUCCUGGAGCUCAACUCCAGAACUGCCUUUGAUACUGGCGAUCUUGAGUCCGGGAGAGGUGAGUGGAACUGCGAGUGUAGAGGUGAAAUUCGUAGAUAUUCGCAAGAACACCAGUGGCGAGGGCGGCUCACUGGCCCGGUACUGACGCUGAGGUGCGAAAGCGUGGGGAGCAAACAGG